This 498-nucleotide long non-coding RNA is filed under the name Rattus norvegicus (Norway rat). RNAcentral's name for it is "long non-coding RNA NONRATT031450". Lineage: Eukaryota; Metazoa; Chordata; Mammalia; Rodentia; Muridae. The record is from RNAcentral.
CAGAAAGACAAAAAGACUUGAUGGAAUGUUGGAAUGUCACUUCCAAGAAUUCCCACAUUCUUGAAAGUCUGUUACUGUGGCCAUAGACACUGCCCGAGGGAAACUUGGUGGAAUGAGUGGAGAUUGGUCGGGACAUGUCUAAGGAGCCAGGUAGAAAACAACCAGAGCAUUGAAGAUCGGAUUGUCAUUUUUAUCAUGGAUUUGUAUGAAUGACAGAGAAGAACGCAAUUUACCAUGGCCCGGGUGGGCAGAGAGCAUGAGUAGAGAAUGUUAACCACGGAAGCCUUCCUGGAGGAACUAAUGUCUAGCAUGAUCCGGAAGAGCUCUUCCUCCCCCAGUGAGACACAGACCCAUGGACUUACAGCAGCCCAAGCAGCCACUGCCACAGAGAGCCCAGAGAGCUGUCUGAGACCACAAUACAAAGCACCUUCCCCCUUCCUGGAAACAAAGCAAGAUAAAAUAUGGACUUAAACCAAACAAGCGCCAUCUCUUCUCUCU